RNAcentral lists this ribosomal RNA (214 nucleotides) under uncultured bacterium. Its description in RNAcentral is "partial 16S ribosomal RNA". It matches the Rfam family "Bacterial small subunit ribosomal RNA", at positions 27 to 229 of the family's 1533-position model. The record is from RNAcentral.
GAGUCAACGCUGGCGGCGUGCCUAACACAUGCAAGUCGAACGCGAAAGUCCCGCAAGGGAUUAGUAGAGUGGCAAACGGGUGAGUAACACGUGGGUGACCUGCCUUCGAGUGGGGGAUAACGUCCCGAAAGGGACGCUAAUACCGCAUGACAUCCUGUCUUUGAAAAGGUGGAGCUUAAAGCCGGGAUCGCAAGACCUGGCGCUUGAAGAGGGG